This 4560-nucleotide long non-coding RNA is filed under the name Salmo salar (Atlantic salmon). RNAcentral describes it as "lncRNA (ENSSSAG00000089441.1)". Lineage: Eukaryota; Metazoa; Chordata; Actinopteri; Salmoniformes; Salmonidae. The record is from RNAcentral.
AGUUGAAGAGCUGUUGUGGGUAACUAUGACUACAGAACUCUCAGCAGAUGGGGAUGUUAAGACAUGAUUCAAUCUAAUUCAGGGCCCCUGAUACCCCUCAGGUCAAGGACAAAUCUACAGUUUUAUACAGCACAAUCACUGAAUGGAAUUCUUUACUAACUCACAUUUUUCAUGCAAAAAGUAAAUCCACCUUCAAGAAAACAAUAAAAGUACAUCUAAUGUGAUCGACCAUAUUACUGCACAGAGACUAGAGAGCAUCUACUGAAUGUUAAAUGUAUUACCUGUCAGGUAUUUGAAUUGUCUGUAAUGUCUAAUUGUUAAAUGUUUGUAACGUCUUAAUGACAAUUCUAAUUGUUUGUAAUGUCUUUUUAGUUCUGUGUUGGACCCCAGGAAGAUUAGCUGACGUUAUGGUGUCAACUAAUGGGGAUCCCAGAGUCAAAUUGAGGGUUGAUCUCUGAGGACAUGUUUUUGCCUUAGGAGAGGGUCAAACAAUGUGUACUAUUAGCUCUGGAUCAAGUCAGAGGGUUAUUGAAGCAGUUUACAAACGAUGAAUCAUAAUUGUUACUGCAGGCGUAUGCAAAAUCAUUUAGUUUAACAAUUUGGAAUGGACAGUUCUUGCAUUAUUGCAGACUAGGGCCACGUCCUCGGCUUUCCAAGUAUUGACCGCACUGCGGUUUUAUGGAUAACAAAUAAAACAGACAUUGGAGCUGACAGCCUUCAGCGGGACUCCACUUCUUAUUUAUCACCUACAAGUUCUCCAGAAGGGCCACACUUUAGUCCAGAAUCCAGUUCUGUAUGUAUGCACACAGCCAGUCCUAAUUCACCCCUUCUUCUUGGACUCUAACCCGCUAAUGUCUGCAGAUAUGUAAGGUGGAAGCAAUAUGGUGGAAGCUUCACCACUACACUGCUUAUACCUAUCCAUACACUACAGCUCUGCUAACGUUAAAGGGUUGGGUCCAAGGGGGAGGGGUAGGGAGCGAAUUGGGGCCAGCUGACCCAGUUGGCGUGUGUUGUUGAUGUUACGGACUACCUGUCUGCUGAGAUCUCCGCCCCCAAGCAGAAGAAGUUCAUCCUGGUGACGUUCGUGGACAUUCCGGGCCUGUUGAACGGGGACAUGGCCUCCCUUUGAUGUCAGCUGCGCUAUAACCUCAUUUGGGGAGCAGGCGGACCUGGUUUUGUGUUCUUCGACCCCAUGGGCCAGGCGCUGUGCAAGCGCACGCUCAACAUCGUGAAGAAACUUAGCGAUAAGAUUGCGGACAAGCUGCGUUUCUACCUCAGCAAAGCAGACGAAGCCGGGAGGGAGAUGAACAGACAGGUCAGUUACUCUUUGAUGUCCAUUAAACCUGUAUCUAGAUCUCUAGAUCCCUCUGCUGUCCAUGCAGGGACUGGAUCGAUGUCUGUAAAGAAACGUGUUUAUGCUAGUUGGUUCAGAACUGGGUGGUAUUACAUUUUAAGUGAUAAUGCCAGAGAAGCCAAUGUUUGGAGGAUAUAUUGGCACGGGUGUUGUUAUUAUAUUGGCCGGCAAACCAUGCCAAUAUAUCCUCCAAACACCUGCUUUGAGGCAUGGUGUAAAUGUAAUAUUCUUUACAUACUAUACUGUUUAAUUAGACAUACUAUGCUCUUUUUACUUAGAGAAUUGUCCAUUGUUAUGUGUUAAUAUUUUUUGCUGUUUUUAAUUGUAUUUAUUUUUAAUUUCACCUUUAUUUAACCAGGUAGGCCAGUUGAGAACAAGUUCUCAUUUACAACUGCAACCAGGCCAAGAUAAAGCAAAGCAGUGUGACAAAAACAACAACACAGAGUUACACAUGGGAUAAACAAAUGUACAGUCAAUAACACAAUAGAAAAAUCUGAAUACAGUGUGUGCAAAUUAAGUAAGGAGGUAAGGCAAUAAAUAGGCCAAUAGUGGCGAAGUAAUUACAGGCUUGUCUUGUGUGGCUUAGUCAUAAGACUGGGCUUACAGCUAAGAGCCAUUUGGGUGCGACCGCAGCAUGUGACAUCCCAUGGGUUUACUAUCUACAGGAAGUCACAUGUAUGGAAACUUGCAGAAAGGAGCACAUGAUAUUGUUUUCUGUUGUGAAUACAGUUAGACGGUUGAGCCCUCUGGCUAUCAACUUCAUGCUAUCUUAAAUCUGCACAGACAACUAAUUGCCUUUUACACACUAUCUGCUGACUGGCACGUAUACAAAAAGGAUGUACUUCUCUAUAAAAGCUGAGAACCGACACUGUUCGUUGGGCCUGAACUGCCCAACUGUUGAAGUGCAUAGUUAACUGCUCAAAUUUUUGCUAAUCUUAUAAUAAAGUGUUGUUUGAAAGAAUCUGCAACCUCUCUUCCUUUUGGUUAGAAUUUCCACAACAAUUGGCGACGAGGAUGGGAUGCUAACUCCGCUUACUGAUCGUUCCCGAGGAGACCGAGGUUAAUUGCGCACAGUAGAUGCGGCUCAGGGUAACCACACUCAGAUUAAGCACAGCAGAAAGGGACCCGCCUCGGACUGGCAGGGAGCGUCAGACCUGAGCCCUAGGAUCAUGCCUCAGGACUACCUGGCCUGAUGACUCUUUGCUGUCCCCAGUCCACCUGGUCAUGCUGCUGCUCCAGUUUCAACUGUUCUGCCUGCGGCUAUGGAACCCUGACCUGUUCACCGGACGUGAAAAGCCAACUGACAUUUACUCCUGAGGUGCUGACCUGUUGCACCCUCUACAACCACUGUGAUUAUUAUUAUUUUACCCUGCUGGUCAUCUAUGAACAUUUGAACAUCUUGGCCAUGUUCUGUUAUAAUCUCCACCCGCUACAGCCAGAAGAGGACUGGCCACCCCUCAUAGCCUGGUUCCUCUCUAGGUUUCUUCCUAAGUUCCGGCCUUUCUAGGGAGUUUAUCCUAGCCACCGUGCUUCUACAUCUGCAUUGCUUGCUGUUUGGGGUUUUAGGCUGGGUUUCUGUACAGCACCUUGUGACAUCAGCUGAUGUAAGAAGGGCUUUAUAAAUACAUUUGAUUGAUUGAUUGAUUGAUUGACUAUCAAAUGCUUCUCAAAGAUGCUCUCUGGUGGUCAAACUAGCACCAACUUGCAUUAACAGAAAAAAUGGCUGACAAUUAAAUGAAGUGCCACAGAAUGCUGCGGUAGCCCGCAAGGUGUGCCGUAGUAUUACGCAACUUUUAAAGGAGGAACCACUGUAUGUCAUUCCGAACAUAGGAGUUAAGGGUGAGACUGAUUUUCUUAAACACAACCUCGAAUUGGUGAAAGUUAACUUUAAAAAAAAUCCUGUUCUAGGAAUAGGUCAUGCGUGUUAGAGAUGCCAGUCAGUGACUGGAUACGCCAUUCCGAACAUAGGAGUUAAGGGUGAGGCUGAUUUUUUUAAAAUACAACCUUGAAUUGGUGAAAGUUAACUUUAAAAAAAUCCUGUUCUAGGAACAGGUCAUGCGUGUUAGAGAUACCAGGACAAGUCCUGAUGAAAGCAAUUCAAGAAUAAGAUCCAGAGGUAUUAUAGAGAUACCAGGACAAAAGGCCUGAAGUAAUAUUCCAUAGGUUACGAUCGUAAGAUGUAGAUGCAUGAGCUAUAUUAAGAGAUAACAGGACAAGGUCCUGUUGAAAGUGUUCCAGGACUUGGUCCUGAAGAAUUAAAAAUGAUUCCUGCAGGUUAGAAAAACAUUGUAAAAAACAAUGAAUUAGUCAGUGUACUGGUAAAACAGUUGGUUAUAUUUGGGAAACCAGCUAUAAAUUUAAAUCCUACACGGAAAUGUGCAUAGGAACUACCAUGUGGGUACAACAUUUAAAAUUACAUUGAGUAAUGAAAAAAUAUUUUGAUGAAGAAGAAAUUACUAUUUUUAAAUUAUAAGAAAGGAAGAUGUUCCUAACCAAAUACUGUUUGUUUUGUUUUGUGUGUUUGUUUUUGUUUCCUGAGUGUGUGUGUAUUGACAAAAUAUUUAUAUUAUGUACAGACGAUGGACCCUAAUUUUGGUAAUAUGUGUUGUCAACAAUAGUGAUAUGUGAAGCAUGAUACUGGUAUAAGACAUUAGGUCUCCAAUAUUCUCAAGUAGUAAAUUGGCAGACGCUUCAGUAUUGGUUCUAUUAAAAGGCAGAAAUACCAUAACUACUCUCCGGGUAAGUGGGUAUCACUACCUUGGAAAAUUGUUAACAUUGGCUUAUAUUAAAACCAUGAGUGAGGAAAUCUGAAACUCUGGACACCAUUGAGAGAGGCGCAGAAAUAACUAUUGUAGAAGAGGUAAACUAUAGCAAAGCCACAGAGUCACUAAAAGAAGCGCAAGAGCAUUCUACCAAUUCGGCUCGAAUAUGGGAAAAAAAUCUAAUCAUGGAUAAAAUUGAGCAGCAUUUCCCUGCUGAUGGAAAAUUCCAAUCUAAUAAAGUAUUCAGAGAUGCUAUUGUGAAUUGGUACAAUUAUAUAAAAGGAAAAUCAGAAGCUCAAUACACCAGCAUUUUGAUGUUAGCGUUCUAUCAACAAAAAAAGAAAAACCAAUAAAACCAAGAUUAGUAUAUGUACUCAGUAUAACUGCACUAUUUGUGAAUUAAAUUGAGUAUGUAGUGUGCAUAUUGGUCUGAAGAUACAAAUU